UUUCCAAACAUGAAAUCUUUGGACAAGAAGGGGCUUCAACAACUGACAAAUUGAUUGAAUUAGAAUACAGGAGAUGGAAGAGCUUGGUUAUGAAUACACAAAGCAGAGGCUUGCAUAUACACGUGCUCAGAAAUACCAAUCAAUACCUUUUCUUCGGAUAGCUGCUAUGUGGGAAGAAGAAAAGGUGUAUUCAUUGGAUUGGACUUCUGAAAAGAAUCGAGAAAAAUGAGAGAAAAAUGAGAGUUACAUAUGGUAUUGAUGAGUCGUACAAGUUAUCAGUUCUUACAUCUGGGAAGCCUUCUUUGUAAUCAUUUUUUUGCUGCUUAGCUACAUAUAAAGUUUAA
Molecule: non-coding RNA, 344 nt
Organism: Corylus avellana
Lineage: Eukaryota; Viridiplantae; Streptophyta; Magnoliopsida; Fagales; Betulaceae
Source: RefSeq, a predicted model, not a curated record